RNAcentral lists this long non-coding RNA (248 nucleotides) under Gossypium raimondii (Peruvian cotton). Its description in RNAcentral is "long non-coding RNA (GRAI_LNC009620)". Lineage: Eukaryota; Viridiplantae; Streptophyta; Magnoliopsida; Malvales; Malvaceae. The record is from RNAcentral.
AGGAUGUUUACAUUUUGUAAUCUCAUUCUCAUUCCUUUGUAUCAUAAUUCAGUGUCUCCUCUCUAUAUACUUCAUAAACCAAAUCUGACUACCAAAUUCUCAGUUAUACAAUUAAAGAACAAAAAGAACAAAAAGAAAAGAAAGUUAUAUGAUGUUUAUAUUGUACGUGUAAUAGGCCAAUUUAGCCCGGACUCACAAAAAAAACCCAAAAUAAUAAAACGAAGUCCAAGUCCAAUCCAAAAUUAUAU